Molecule: ribosomal RNA, 407 nt
Filed under: uncultured bacterium
Lineage: Bacteria
Description: partial 16S ribosomal RNA
Rfam family: Bacterial small subunit ribosomal RNA
Source: RNAcentral
AUCGAACGCUGGCGGCAGGCCUAACACAUGCAAGUCGAGCGGAGCGGCGGACGGGUGAGUAAUGCCUAGGAAUCUGCCUGGUAGUGGGGGAUAACGUCAGGAACCGGGCGCUAAUACCGCAUACUAUCAGAUGAGCCUAGGUGGGAGUAGGUAGUUGGUGGGGUAAAGGCCUACCAAGGCGACGAUCCGUAACUGGUCUGAGAGGAUGAUCAGUCACACUGGAACUGAGACACGGUCCAGACUCCUACGGGAGGCAGCAGUGGGGAAUAUUGGACAAUGGGCGAAAGCCUGAUCCAGCCAUGCCGCGUGUGUGAAGAAGGUCUUCGGAUUGUAAAGCACUUUAAGUUGGGAGGCGUUACCGGCAGAAGAAGCACCGGCUAACUACGUGCCAGCAGCCGCGGUAAUUC